GGAUGUGACCACAGAAUUCUCUCAGGAGGAGUGGGGAUGCCUGAACCACAGCCAGCGGGAACUUCACAGGGAUGUGAUGUUAGAGAACUGUGGACACUUCCUCUUCUUGGGACAUUAGCAGAAUGGAGAAAUGGGAAAUACCAGCACUUUGCUUUUCCAUGAAAUAAAAAAGUAAUGAAAUGACCAUUCGGGGUGCUCCAGCAGCCAGUUGGGAGAACACUGCACACCCAGGCAAAUACAAAUGAGGAAGAGCUCCAUCAAAGAGACAAGGAACGUUCGGGACACUUGAACACAACAGCUACUCGCCCUCUCUGGCGCUCCGUGGCAAGACUGUGAGAAAACUCUUACCUCCUCCAAGGAGACAAACAAACGAGUCAGCUAUCCGUUCAUUGAUCUCAUUUAUUGGCAGCUGUGUGAAGGACUUCCUUCUGUCGUGCAGGACAUGCGAAGCUGAGGGAAUGCCAGCACCUUCUGGACACACGGUGGUGGUGCUCAGAGAAAAGCUGUAUCUUCCAAUGGCACCCAGAGCCUCCUUCCAACGAUGUGCACAGAAACUUCUUUCCAAAGAGUCAGUGGGUAGACAUAAACACAGUACCCUUGGGAAUGUACACGUAAUGAGGGACUGGAACAGGACUGGGAAGAGAGAAGGCAUCAAAGACAUGAUG
Long non-coding RNA from Suricata suricatta (meerkat), 665 nucleotides. RefSeq lists it as uncharacterized. Lineage: Eukaryota; Metazoa; Chordata; Mammalia; Carnivora; Herpestidae. The record is from RefSeq and is a predicted model, not a curated record. The transcript has 3 exons.